Molecule: long non-coding RNA, 7053 nt
Filed under: Sorghum bicolor (sorghum)
Lineage: Eukaryota; Viridiplantae; Streptophyta; Magnoliopsida; Poales; Poaceae
Description: long non-coding RNA (SBIC_LNC002603)
Source: RNAcentral
UGCAUUGAUGAGUCUAUCAGGGUAUGCUGCACUAAAAUAAACCAUGAAGAGAAUGUGAAACCAAAAUCUAAGAACAGAGCUAUACACACCCAGAACCGGAGGUGACCAUAUGGAAUGGAAGUAAACAACAUAGAACAUGAUAGUUUGUAGGGCCCAAAACUAUCAGGUCGAUAGCAAUUGCAGAGGUUAGAAGGACAACUAUUAAUCGUCGAAGCCAAAUAGAAAGUACAGCCAUACACAGUGCAACAAAUGGGAUAUAGCAUACUACAUAGGUACAUGUGCCCUAUUCUGGUAACCACAUUUUCUUGUAGGAAGCAAAGCGAUGGAGCUAACUGGAGCAGGUUUUUCGUAUCUGCAAACCUAUAUAUAGGAAAAGGAAUGUAAGAAAAAAAAACAUAGUAGGGCUCUUUGAUUUGAGGCACAUAGUAAAAGCCCGUUAGCAUAGUUUGAUGAAUAAAGUGUUCAGUUAACGCCACCAUGCACUUUUUGAUGCAAUCCUACUUCUGACUAAUGAGUGGUAUAACAUGUACCGAGUGAAAACUGAAAUCAAAAUAAGACUUUUGAAUGGCAUUGGUUUUGAAUGAUUAAGAGAACUGUUGACCUUUGUUGCGCAUGCAAGUGGCGGUAGCUAGAUUUGUUAAAUAUCUUGCUGCUGGUAAAGACUAUGGUGAGCUUAUUUAUCUUUCCCUGUUGUGCUGGUAAAGACUAUGGUGAGCUUAUUUAUCUUUCCCUUUUGUGCCUGUACAAAGCUGUUAGAGUACGUAAGGGGCCUAUUGGGCCUGGGCAGGUGCCAUAGCCCAUUAGUGUUAGGGUUAAUUAGAGAUAAAGGUUGCUUGCUUAGAGGUGAAGUAAGCCUUGUUUGCAAGUCAAGUAAACCUCUAUAUAAGGAGAGGAGAUGUAUUAAUCUAAUCAAGCAAGAGAUUAGAAGGAAAUCCCUUCCCUCUUGCCCAGCCGUGGGCAAGGCCCCCAGCCGGCCUCCUCUUGCUCUCGCAGCCCUAGCCACCGCCACAAUAUCCGUAUGAACAGUACCCACGGGUACUGUAGCACGCAAGCAGCCCCGUCAGCCACCAUCGCUCCCCUCUGCCACAUAACAAUCUGGUAUCAGAUCUUAGGCCUUGAUCCACCCCCCCCCUGCCACCCCCUGCUGCGGCGGUCAUGUUCCUCACCACCAUAGCCAUGGCUAGUCCUAGUUCACUCGCCGCGCCUCUGGUGUUCACCACCACCACAGCCACCGUGGCGCCACUACCUACACAUCAGUCUGCGCCUUCCCCGGAAGCCUUCAACGCGUUGAGGGCGGCCAUCUACCAUCUACGGCCUGCAGUGCCAGAUGGGGGAGUUGUCGGCGCGCCAAGUGGUCGUCACGAGCCGAACGUCGCCCUCCACACCACCGCCUAUACCGUAUGGCCUGCUAGGGUUCGGGGGCAUCCCGACCCUUCCGACGUCGGUUUCGGUCAUUUCGGAGGUCUUCUCUACACGGCAGGUCCUGCCUACGAGUUCAACACCUAGGUCAUUCCCACAACCAGUCAACUGGGUGCCCCCACAACCGGCCAGCGGGCUCCUGACCGCCAAGGAGAGCAAUAGUCCGGCACCGCUUUCCUCCUCUCCUUCACCGAUCCCGUCAUUCAUAGCCCCCAACCUUGUGCCGCCACAACAACACUAUGAUGGCGUCUUCUAUGGGGGCGUGGAUGGCAUUCAAGCAACGGUGUCGAAUGCAGGCAGCGGUGCACUGCCUCCUAGCGCGCCGGCAGGGCCAGCGCCCCAUCUUCAAGCGGCAACGCCCAAUCGUCCCUGCAGCGACAAUCUUGUAGCAGCUCGUGGAGAGGAAGGCGAUUGCACGGGCGAGUGGCUACAAGGUGUCUGCAGCAGUGCGGCUGCAAGAGAUGUGCCAGCCUAUGCACGAGGUGACCUUGGCGAUGGUCGACCUCAACACAGCGGAGCACAAUCUCGCCCUGUGGGAUGGCCACCAACAAGCGCGCUGACCUGCUGCUAUCUUCCAGCAUGAGUAUGGUGUUUUUCCCACGGGACGACCUCCAACUAUGUGGCAGCGGUGGUAGUGGAGCCACUCCACUCCUUGUCAUCGGCGAGGACGCACUGCCUAGCGCCACCACAUUUCGCCACCGGCCAACGCGAGGACGUCUCCACUGGUCAUUAUCGUGACUAAUUCCAGAUGGCUAACCCAUGCACCCCAAUCGUUCUAGUGGGCUCCAUGGAAUCGAGGUGGCUGCACAUGUGCAGGUCCAUCACGCGGAGGGUGUCCGCCGUAUCUUUAGGAUUCAAAAAUAAAAAGUUACAGUUUAUUUCGGGUCAAUAAGAUAAGAUGUAAAAGGCUUAUUUUAGGUAUUAAGUUUGUGUUGAGUCGAGUUAUAAGUUGGUUAGGUUGCAGUUCGAGGACGAGCUGCAUGUUUAGGUGGGGUGUAGUGUUAGAGUACGUAAGGGACCUAUUGAGCCUAGGCUGGAGCCAUAGCCCAUUAGUGUUAGGGUUAAUUAGAGAUAAGGGUCGCUUGCUUAGGAUCAAGUGAACAUUGCUUGUAAGUCAAUUAAACCUGUCUAUAUAAGGCGAGAAGAUGUAUCAAUCUAAUCAAGCAAGAGAUUAGAAGGAAAUCCCUUCACUCUUGCUCGAUCGUGGGCAGGGCCGCCGGCCGGCCUCCUCUCGCCCUCGCAGCCCUAGCUACCGCGACAGCCCUCCGCAGGUACUAUAGCACGCAAGCAGUCCCAUCAACCGCCAUCGCUCCCCUCUGCUGUGGCAGAACCACCUAAUCUAAUGACCUCCCAAGAGUACUUGUCUUCCACUAGAUGCUAGGUACUCAAGAGAAAUCAUUAAACCAUUCGAUUCCGUCGAGUACACCCAGCGGGAGAACCCGAUAGACCACAUUUUCCAUGCACGAUAGCUUACAAUAUUAUUAGUCAUUUCUUACAUCACUUGUAUUAGAACAUCACAGUAUUACUGUCGGGUACCAUAAACCAGGAUACCCCAACCAAGAGGUAAAAAGCGACAAAAGAGGAACUCAGAUCUACAGGAACGUACCUCCCCUCAGACGAGCAAUAAGACCCGAGCCCCGGCCUUGAGCACAACCAACGACUCGUCCGAGCCCCAGCCUCGAGCACAACCAGCGACUCGCCCGAGCCCUGGCCUCGAGUGCAACUAGCGACUCGCCCGAGCCCUGGCCUCGAGCGCAACCAGCGACUCGCCCGAGCCCUGGCCUCGAGCGCAAUCAACGCCUCGCCUGAGCCUUGGCCUCGAGCGCAAUCAACGCCUCGCCCGAGCCCUGGCCUCGAGCGCAAUCAACGCCUCACCUGAGCCUCGGCCUGGGCGCCAGGCUUCUCACGCACGGCGAUCGUACCAUUGACGCGACGCAGGCCAUGCUUCCUCCCAUGUCGCGGCAGGACACGACGCCCACUAUUCCAACAACUCCCGUCCCUGUAACACCUUACACAUGCCACUAUGGGUACGGCACGACAGGAAAGGGAAUGGGAGGUGUUAACUCACACCACUGUCACCAUGCCCAAGCAAUUACUGUUCCACUGGUGCAGGACGGAGCACAGGGCCUCGGACAGGAUUGCCACGAUCCAAAUAGGAGUUGGCAACACCGCCAACAGGGACAACCAUGCCGCUGCCACCACCAUCAGGACAUGGCGACCAAUCUCCACAGCACCGACGCCGUGAUUCUCCCGCAUAUCAAGGAUAGAUAGCAAUAUUUACACAUAUAAAAACCCUGCCUCCUCUUGUGGCUAUAAAAGGGGAGGCAGAGCACCCCAUAGGGACAAGGGAACAACAGACUCACAUUCACUCCCACACUCCCCAAGUCGAGACAUGGGACUCGAUCCCUCUCUAGCAGCUAGCUUGUACACCCCUACUACAAGCACUCUCAGGUCCAAGAUUAUACAGGGUCCAACCCUCCACUGGACAUAGGGCAUCGUUGGCCUGAACCAGUAUAAACCCUCUGUGUCUCUCUUGCAUCACCAUUCAGGUUAAAGGGCACGCAGACUAAUCACUCGUUGGUGCAUGGACCCCGAGUCGAGACAACGACAGUUGGCGCAUCAGGUAGGGGCCUUCUGCGUGUAACACCUUUUCCUCCAGGAAAAGCCCGGAUGGCGGACGGUUUUCACCCACUUCGUCUCGACACCAUCAUGAGGUUUGGGAGCUUGGAGUUCAUGUCCCUUGGCUCUGGCUACGACAUGGUCCUCCUCCCGCCUCGUGAUGACGCUGAGCCUCGUCCUGAGCCUCUCCCGCCCCAGCCAGUGCGCGGAAGACGCUCGGGGCAUCAUGGAGGGGGAACCCAGCGCGGGCGUCAGAGGUCCAGGAUCUCUGACCCCAUUUCUGGGGCCAAGACGCUUCAGGCCCUCCCACCGCACGUUCCUCAUCAGAUCGCCCAUGCCAUUGGCCCACGACGAGCCAGGGGAAAGCCUCACGGAGCCACGAGUUCCACUCCUAGGCCUAACAGGGGGACAGCACGGCCCCCUGUUCCACCUCGGCCGAUGGGCAGAGCUUCGCCCUCGCUCCCUCCUAAGAAGGACCCAAGGGCCUCAACUUUGCAGUUCCCUCCCACGUCGCCCUUAGAGCCUGAGGUGACGGCGGAAGAGCUCGCGACUGCACCUCUUGCGCUCCUUUACGGGCUUAAGAACGCAGCCGCCACCUACGCCUCCUUUGUAAGCACUUCGAUGAGUGCGUAUGCUGAUCUCCCAGGCCACCAUCUGAGGUCCACCCUUGAUCUCAUCGCCACCCCACCGGCAUCCUCAUAUCCUGAGGAAGUUUCCUCGGAUGAAGGUGCAUGGGCUGGAGCUAACUUCUUUGGCCUCGGUGACAUGGAGACCUUCCUACGGUUCCUCGAAGCGAGUAACUAUUGCCUCAGUUACUUAGACUCGGAGGGGAUGACUACGAUCCGAGACGAGAAUGCUUCAACAUCAAGGUCGAUGGAGCAGCCCCGGCCGAUCAGGGCAGCGCAAGGCCUGCUGAUCGACAGGAUGCGACUCCCCCUCCCAAAACGGCCUCAGCGGGUCGUCGUGAGGCGCGGGAGGCCGCGUCUACCCGAGCAGGAGCUCAAUGACCUGACCUCGAACAGCUCAAUGAGCUAGAGGCCAAACUCGAGGAAGAACACGUACGCCUAUGACAGCUGCGCAAAAUCCUGGAGCGCGACCAUUCCGCUCGAGGGGACGGGGGAGCAGCCCAACAUCGCGCCCGCGACGUCAACCGACGCAUCAUCGAGGACGCCGGAGGGUACGAUCCUCCUCUCUUUAGCACGGCUAGCCAAAAUGUAAUGGCCGCCGCGCUACUUCUCAGGGCGAUGCCCGAACCAUCGACCCCUGAAGGAAGAAGAGUGUGCCAAGGACUCCGCAGGCUCCUAGAGCAAGCCAUGGUGCAAAACGCAGAGAGUUCCACACCACAGCACCACGAUUCGCGGGCAAGACGCCCUGGGGACCGACCCCCACCAGGGAGAGCACCAUCAGUACAGGGCCAUGCGCCCCCUAAUCCACAGGAGGGCACCAAGGCUCCAUCCGUCCUCGAGCGAGUCGGAGCCAAUGUGGACGCCAGGGCCACCCUCAAGGCCUGACGCCGUGACAGGGACAAGUCGAGUCUCGGCGGUACCACCCGCACCAAGGCGAGAGGUAGGACCCUGAGCACGACCGCAGCACAUCGCCUGAGCCUCCGGGCCCCCGCGUCUUCAGUGAGGCAAUCCGCAAGGCCAAGUUCCCUGCUCGGUUCCGAUAGCCAGCAAACCUCACCAAAUACUCGAAGAGACAAACCCAAAGCUCUGGCUCGCGGACUACCGCAGCAUGCCAGCUGGGCAGGGCGGUGUCACACCCAUAUUUUAAGAACAAAAUAGGAUGCAUAAAAGACUCAUAUGUGCCCCAGAAACAGUCGCACACAUAAAUAGACAAAUCUCAAAUGUACCAUUGCAGUGUUUAUUACAUAACGGAACAUAGUAAAUCACAUAGUCUCAUACAAAGAUAGUAGCAUAACGUAAGCAACGCUCUCGACGGAAGCUCCAUAUAGGGACACUGUUGACUGGUUGACUCCAAACCUAGUACUUAUAACGGUAAUCCUCAUUCCAGUCAUCUUCAUUAUCAUAUCCUGAGGUGUUGGGAAAUUUCAAGAGUAAGCACAUAUCGUACUCAACAAGUAUAACUAGAGGUUCAUGAGACUCAAAUAGCUGACACGGGUUUGACUGCAUUUAGCUUUUAAUAGUAGAUAACAUAUUCAUAAUUAAAUAGCAAUUGUCAAGGUAGCAUAAAUAAUCCAUUAAUCUCAUGAUCAAGUGUAAGCAUAAUUAAUCCAUAGCAUAAACGAUAAUCAAAUGAACAUAACAACUUAAUAAGCUCAUCGUCGGCGCAGCAAGAACCCCCAAGGCCGCUCAUAACCGUGAGCACGGCUAGUAUACCAGUUUUACACUCUGCAGAGGUUGUACAUCUUUACCCAUGAGUCAUGAUUUACCCUUUCGCCCGAGGUAGCUAAUCUCUUAACCCCCUUCCUAGGGAGGUCGGCAGGGAUCACUAUGAAGUCUUUCAAAAGUUCGUCUAACAUGUUAGGGCCGCAAGGUUUCCUUUGCGAGCAGAUAUAGAUACCCCCCUUCCGAAUGGCACAAUGACGCGCAACCUAUACACAUAGGGACAGGGGCUCGCACUAUACCUGUGUCGGUUCAGCCCCUCCGCCCUUUCGGGUAACCUCUAACAAGCUAGAAAAGGUUUCCAUACUGAGCUAAAGCCAGAGCCAUUAUAGCCCUCAUGGUUGCACUGUUGUCCCGGUGAUCACUUACAGACAAGAUCUCAUAUAGUUGUUUGUCAUCUUUUAACGUUCACUGCAUAGCUAUUAAUCAUCUUACAAGAUCAUGGAUUAUAUCAAGCACUAGCACAUCUACAACAAAUGCAUAUCAAGUAGGUAGCAAGGAAUCCAGGUAACAAUCAUCUUUGAUUUUGCUAAGGUCGACAAGGUGAUAGCAUGCAUAUGAUAUAUACGUGUAUUUAUGAUCCCAAGUUAUACUUGCCUUGCUCAAAGCUCUCCUGAGCCGCUGGUCUUCAAAAGCUUGGUCUUGAUCACCAACGUACGGCUCACCGUCU